GUAGGUGGCAAGCGUUGUCCGGAAUUAUUGGGCGUAAAGCGCGCGCAGGCGGUCCUUUGAGUCUGAUGUGAAAGCCCACGGCUCAACCGUGGAGGGUCAUUGGAAACUGGGGGACUUGAGUACAGAAGAGGAAAGCGGAAUUCCAAGUGUAGCGGUGAAAUGCGUAGAGAUUUGGAGGAACACCAGUGGCGAAGGCGGCUUUCUGGUCUGUAACUGACGCUGAGGCGCGAAAGCGUGGGGAGCAAACAGGGAUUAGAUACCCUGGUAGUCCACGCCGUAAACGAUGAGUGCUAAGUGUUAGGGGGGUUUCCGCCCCCUUAGUGCUGCAGCUAACGCAUUAAGCACUCCGCCUGGGGAUACGGCCGCAAGGCUG
This 373-nucleotide ribosomal RNA is filed under the name uncultured organism. Its description in RNAcentral is "partial 16S ribosomal RNA". It matches the Rfam family "Bacterial small subunit ribosomal RNA", at positions 527 to 896 of the family's 1533-position model. The record is from RNAcentral.